This is a non-coding RNA of Triticum urartu, 1142 nucleotides long. The record is from RefSeq and is a predicted model, not a curated record. Lineage: Eukaryota; Viridiplantae; Streptophyta; Magnoliopsida; Poales; Poaceae.
CGUAAAUCACUCCGCCACGCCGCCCUCUUUCGACUUCUCCUCACUCACGCCGCCAUCUCUCCACUUCUCCUCUUCUUCCACCUCCUAAUCCAUCGCUAUCCAUCUAAUGGGAUCCCUCCAACCCGCUGGCCGCUGAUGUGCAUCACCUCAAUCAGAUGAACAGAGAUCCAUUAGUUUGGUGGGCGAUCUGACGGAUACUCAGCGGGCGGGCGGGCGAUUGGAGGCCGUGGAGGUUGGGGGACAGAGACCGGCCGGCGUGUGCAUUUGGGCCAACGGCGGCGAUUGGGCGGGAAGGUCGGAGGAAGUCUUCUGCAACGAGCAAUUUCGUCUUCAGCUUACAGAUUAACAAUGGCAAGGAUACCAAGACGACUACAGGACUUGGAACUUACAAUGCAUGAUCCAGAACAUGUGCAGCUUGGUGAAGAAAAUCUGCAAGGUCCUCCAGAGAUUGAUAAUAUAGUACUAGGAAGAUCUCAUGAAUCCACUAGCCAAAUCAAGAUAAUUUGUAAGUCUCGAUGUGCAGGAGCCACGAACUACUAUGCAGGAGCUGCAACAAACCAAAUCAAAAGAGGGUUGUGGCAGUGCGCCUUUACCACAUGAACAUGUGAUCACUAAGAAUGCCCAUGCUGAAAAUAAUCUUCCCGUGCAGCAAGGUGGUCCUGAACCAAGUUUACGACUUCAAGUCGCUAAGCAGGCAAACCUAUGCUACAUAUGUAAAUGACAAUGAUUGUACACAAGGUUGUCUAAUUUUGUAUUUAAGUGCAAGAAUGAUAAUGCUCAAAAUAACAAUGCAACCAAGCCAUGUGGUCAUCACCAAGUCGCUAAGCAGGUAAAAAUAGUUAAGCCAACUCCAGCAUAACCACAAAGCAUUGGGUUGUGAGGAGUUGAAAAGUGAGUGCAUUAAAGGAGCUAGGAGUGGCUAGUUAGUUGAGGAUUUGAAAAGGGGGUGCACUGGACGAGUCAGGAGCAGUUGAUGAAUCAAUCUUUGAACGAACAAAUAUUCUGGAUUAUGUAUAGAUUUUAGCUUCAUAGAGAAAAAUAGUUCCAGUCUAUAGGAUCUUUUCUUAUUUAUUUUCAACAUUGCAUGUUUCAUAUGAAUGUUUGAUAUUAUUUUGCUGUGAAGUCAACGUACUUUUAGUGGA